Molecule: long non-coding RNA, 518 nt
Filed under: Coturnix japonica (Japanese quail)
Lineage: Eukaryota; Metazoa; Chordata; Aves; Galliformes; Phasianidae
Description: lncRNA (ENSCJPG00005014898.1)
Source: RNAcentral
AUGAGCGUCCCAGGCCAACUACUUCACCGGCGAGGUAAGAGGACUGUCUGCCAGUGCUGCCUGUCUGUCAUGGGGCUUCCCGACAGGAAAAAGCCUUUCCUUUCCUGCCACAUCCGUGUCCGGAGCACUGGAGUGAGCAGCCCCUCUCCAUUCCCGUGCCUGAUGUUCAUAGUAGAGUUCUGGAGGUUCCCAGGCAACUUGCAGCCAAGUUUGCUUUGGCUGGCUUUGCAGGGAACCUGGGAGGCAACUCUUUUCCCCCUUCUUAAUCCUUCUGACCAGCGCUCUCCUUUGUCUUCCUUCCCAGGCUGUUCAAGACAUGAUCAAUCAAGUACUGGAGAAGCUGGAAGAAAGCCCAUUCCGGAUGCCGAAUUAUGCCAGCAAGACUUCAGGCGCUGCUGCUAUCGUUCAUUCUCCAAGACUUCUCCCUCCUGGACUGGAAGUGGAAAGUCUUUUUGUUGUCCCACUUUCAUGUUAGAGUUUGCUGUGCCGGUACACUAUGAUGAGGGCCCCUGAGAUAC